UGGAUCUACAAGCAUAAGGCAUCAUGC
Molecule: non-coding RNA, 27 nt
Filed under: Homo sapiens (human)
Lineage: Eukaryota; Metazoa; Chordata; Mammalia; Primates; Hominidae
Source: RNAcentral